Molecule: ribosomal RNA, 419 nt
Filed under: uncultured bacterium
Lineage: Bacteria
Description: bacterial SSU rRNA
Rfam family: Bacterial small subunit ribosomal RNA
Source: RNAcentral
AUUUUGGGCAAUGGCCGAAAGGCUGACCCAGCGACGCCGCGUGCGGGAGGACGCUUUUCGGAGUGUAAACCGCUGUCAGAGGGGAAGAAACGUCGGGUGGUGAACAGUCACCCGGCCUGACGGUACCCUCAAAGGAAGCACCGGCUAACUCUGUGCCAGCAGCCGCGGUAAUACAGAGGGUGCAAGCGUUGUUCGGAAUCACUGGGCGUAAAGCGCGCGCAGGCGGGACUGCAAGUCGGGAGUGAAACUCCGGGGCUCAACUCCGGACCGGCUACCGAAACUGCAGACCUGGGGACCGGUAGAGGCUGGUGGAAUUCCCGGUGUAGCGGUGGAAUGCGUAGAGAUCGGGAAGAACACCCGUGGCGAAGGCGGCCAGCUGGGCCGGGUCCGACGCUGAGGCGCGAAAGCGUGGGGAGCAA